UGGGUUGGGACAAAGAAAGACUAGGAUAACCAAGGCUGAAGAUCUAGGGACCUAGUGGAACAGGGAGAUAGAUGAUUUCUUUCCCCAAAAAGGUGAGCUCCUGCCUAUUAAUUUAGGAAGCAGAGUAGGAGUUUCUGGAGAACAUUCGGGCUGUGCUGGGCUCAGUAUCCAGAGGUUACAGUGUGUCUGUAAUCAUUAGGGGCAGAGAAGCCAAGCAACUGGAUCUGGUUCCUCAGGUGAGGAUCUAGAAUCCACUUUGCCUUACCAUAUAGUCUAGGUUUGUUUGAACUCCGAAACAAUCUUUUCUCUCAUCCCCACUCCACCCCUACCCUAAUAAUUUCCAGCUGCUGGCACUGCUGUUUGAGGAAACUCAACUCCAAAGUGCUUCUGAAACUUCCCUCUGGACCCUAAGUCUAGUGCAGAUGAAAAGAGCUCAAAAGUGAUUUUCAGGAAUUGAGGAGUCCUGCAAAGAAUUCUCCAGGAUUUGGAAGAUUUUUAUGGGUUCUGCACAGACUUAUCCCUUGUACUUUCAAACCCUUCUCUUUAACUCAUUUCUACCGGGAGGGAUCAAGACUUAUUAUUAUCUGGAACUAGCGACCUGAAUUUCCUGGAUGUGUCCCCACUGGGUCUGUAAGUAUGCUACUUUGUCCAGGAUGUGAAUAUCUUUUCUUAGUACUGCUCUCCCUUCCUUCCCAGAGUUACACAGCUAAGAAGUGUCUGAGGUCACAUUUGAACUCAGGGCCUUCUGACUUCGGAGCUGAUGCUCUAUCCACUGUACAGCUAUCCUAUUCAGGUUUAGUCUGUCUAUGUGACUAUGGGUUACCUGCUCAUUUUGUUCUUAUGUCUGGGAUUUAAUGCUUUGAAGGGUCCUGUGGCAGAGGGACGGAGUCCAGAAAUGGUCCAAACUUAUAUUUUUCCCCUUUUUUCUCAGGGUAGCAGAAGGAACGAGUGAAGCAGAGAUCCUAGAUUCCAAGUCUGGCUGCCAACUUUAUUUCAGGGCAAGUGGAAGGCUUGGUUAGGUAUAUGAACCUGUAGACUCUGGCAGAAAGGAUGAGGGAAGGAGAUACAAACUUAGAAUCUAAGAAGAAAUGCCCCGAACUUAACCAUCUUCUCUUCCAGGGCCUGCUCCCUUCUUUUUUUUUUUUUUUUUUUUUUUUUGCCUGCUCCCUUCUUAUCUUGAUGAUAUCCUGCCUGGGGCCCAGCACCAUAAAGAGGCCUGGGCCAGAGGCAUGUGGCAGGGCUCAUUGAGAGUCCUUCAGCUUCCAGAAGCUCCGUGAGUCCAACUUGGGGUGAAGCCCAGGGCAGCAGUUUGAGGGUUCCACAUAAGGGGCAGUUAUUCCCCCUAACCCAUAACAAGGACCUAAGCUGUGCCUGACCUUAGCCGUCACUCUUUGUAGCAACUGCCCCUUAUUGCUGGUACUGGCAGGGAAGGCUUCCAAGGCCCAUACCGGCUCCUUGCCUUGGAUCAUGACUCAGUUGCUCUUUGGAAAUAGUUACAACAGCCUGUUGCUUCACUUGGAUUUCUGAGGUAUGAAGGAGGGAAGGAAGGGACAGAAAAAAAGACAGGAAAUGAGACUUAAUCCUUUCUGGGGAGAGUCACCAGGAAGUUCAUCUCCCAAAUCCUGCUUCGGCCUCUGCAUUGGCUCCUCAUCUAGGCUUCUUACUCAGGGCUAGUCUGGUGGAAAGAGGCUGCUCAGUGUGAUUCUUGGCUUGAGAGGUUGGGAGGAGGGGACAGGAUUAUUCUUUGACUAUAUCAAAGCCCCACACUCCCCCCCCCCCCCUCACCUAAAGUGGCCCCACUGCCUGCCUGUUUUCUUUGGCAGGUGUCCCCUUGGGUCUGCUCCUGGCCUCGCUAGCAGGGGCCAAAGGAGUUUGGGACCCCCGCCAGGAGAAGCAGAUUUCUCCCACACUGUGGGAUGCUUUGGAAGAAAUCCACACCCGCUAUGCCACUGUUCAGGACCUGUGUUCUGGGCUCUCUGGAACGGCUCUACAGGAGAGCCAGCUUACUCAGCUGAGCCUGGUGCUCAGGGAAUUAAAGGUGAGACAGAGCCAGGCACCAGCCCUCCAUGUGGGGUAGCAGGGGCUCUAGAAAGUAUGCACUGAACUUGCUAUUUACAGGUACUGAAAAACCAAAGCCGGAGCUGGGAGACCAGGAUGCUCAAGGGAGUUGGAGCUUCUGUAACCAGGCUUCCAAACCUGCAGGUGAACUAGAAGAGACCUUUCCCCCUGUUUUCAAGAAGCAUCUUCAAGGUGAGUUUCAGGUCUACAUCCCAGACACUAUUUCCUUGGAAUUCCUCAGCUUGUCUAUCUUUGUCUAGAAUAAAAAUAUUUCUCUUUGGCAGCAGGUACUUCAGAAACUCUGGACCUGGGAAGGAAGUCACCCCUGCCAGCAGCAGGGGCUCCUUUUGGGGGCUCCAAAAAACAGGCAAAGUUUCGUUUCUAUAAGGAGUAAAUGGGAGUUCCCUAGAAGGAAAUGGCAUUGUGUAAUAUCCCUUCCUGGGAGUGAAAUUGGGUUAAAAUAAAUACCAUGAAGUCUGAAAAGAGGAAAAGAAUCACAAAGGAGCAGGUUAAGUUAUGGAAGGGGGAGAAGUGCCACUGCUUUAUCUAGGUGAGAGUGGUAAUGAUCAGGAAUAGGUGAUCUUUUAUUGGACCACAGGAUUUAGAGCUAAAAAGAGCCUUUUAGAUAAUCUAGUCCAAUCUCAUUUUCUCCAGAUAAGGAAAUUGAGAACAAUAGAGAUUAAGUUAUUUUCCUGAGACUAUCUAAGUAGUAAAUAAAGGAAUAGACAUUUAGAUUCAGGUUCUUGGGACUUCAAUACAGAGGUCUGACCACAAUGCCUCUUCUUUUAGGACCUACCUCCCAUCUCUCUUAGACUGUAGUUAUGAUUUUACUGCUCAGGAAUGCACUGCCUGUAGUGCUGAAUCCCCUAAAUCUGGGGUAUGGACAGUAAUUGGAAUUGGUAACUCUGUAUACUGGGGAAGACCAAUAGACCCCAAUGGGGAAGUUAGGCAGGAAUUCUUUUAAAAAAAUCUAAGUAAACUUUAAGUUUAUUUUUAAUAUUCUUUUUUUUGUUUGUUUCAAAUUCUACUUCUUCCUCUCUUUUCUUCCCUCCCCUGCUCUUUUGAGAAAGCAAGCAACAUGACACCGAUUAUACAUUAUCAUGUAAACAUUUGUAUAUCAGUAGAACAGGAAUUCUUAAACCUUCUUUGUGUCAUGGUACCAAUGUGGCAAUCUGGUGAAGCUUGAGGUUUGUUG
Molecule: long non-coding RNA, 3253 nt
Organism: Sarcophilus harrisii (Tasmanian devil)
Lineage: Eukaryota; Metazoa; Chordata; Mammalia; Dasyuromorphia; Dasyuridae
Source: Ensembl